AUCUGAAAUCAAGUAAGAACACCCGCUGAACUUAAGCAUAUCACUAAGCGGAGGAAAAGAAAUCAACAGAGAUUACCUCAGUAACGGCGAGUGAAGCGGUAAAAGCUCAAGAUGAAAAUCGGCAUCCAUGCAGGCUGUCGAGUUGUAUUCUAAAGAGGCGAGUCGAUCUAUUGUCUUCUGGAAUAAGUUCUUAGGAAUUUGACACCACAGAGGGUGAAAGUCCCGUACAUGUCCAGGAGAUGUUGGUAGACGAACCUUCGAAGAGUCGGGUUGUUUAGAACUGCAGCCCUAAAUGGGAGAUAUGCUUCUCCUAAGGCUAAAUAUUGAUGGGAGACCGAUAGCGAACAAGUACUGUGAAGGAAAGAUGAAAAGAACUUUGAAAAAAGAGUUAAUAGAUUUGAAGUCGUUGAGAAGGAAGCGGUAAAAAUAAAUUAUUUGGAGGUGACGUGUUAGUUGAGGGCGUAGCUUUGUCUUGAAUGGUACGUUAAAGGCUGUUUAGGAAGAUAGCUGCGACCGAGGCUGACAUUUCAUCUUCGAAAGGCAGUAUGAAGUGAGUGUCGUCGGAAUCACCUGUUGAGAAGUUCUGUGCUUGCGCAGAGGCUCAGUGGGAAAGCGAAGACCUCGCUUGAGGGUGCCAUAGCUUGUAAGAGUUUGGUGAUACUGCCAAAAUGGUUUUUACUGACCCGUCUUGUAACACGGACCAAGGAGUCUAACAUAUAUGCGAGUAUGCUAGUGAGAAAACUGAUAUGCAUAAUGAAAGUGAGAUAGAUGUGAUGGGAGCAAUCUCUGCAACAUCCUCCGACCAUGAUCUUCUGAGAAAGGUUUGAGUAAGAGCAUAUCUGUUAGGACCCGAAAGAUGGUGAACUAUGCUUGAGUAGGGUGAAGCCAGGGGAAACUCUGGUGGAGGCUCGUAGCGAUACUGACGUGCAAAUCGUUCGUCAAACUUGAGUAUAGGGGCGAAAGACUAAUCGAACCAUCUAGUAGCUGGUUCCCUCCGAAGUUUCCCUCAGGAUAGCUGGG
This 1020-nucleotide ribosomal RNA is filed under the name Protocruzia adhaerens. RNAcentral describes it as "Protocruzia adherens partial Eukaryotic large subunit ribosomal RNA". It matches the Rfam family "Eukaryotic large subunit ribosomal RNA", at positions 1 to 986 of the family's 3401-position model. The record is from RNAcentral. Lineage: Eukaryota; Ciliophora; Spirotrichea.